Molecule: ribosomal RNA, 254 nt
Filed under: uncultured bacterium
Lineage: Bacteria
Description: partial 16S ribosomal RNA
Rfam family: Bacterial small subunit ribosomal RNA
Source: RNAcentral
UACAGAGGUCUCAAGCGUUGCUCGGAAUCACUGGGCGUAAAGGGUGCGUAGGCGGGUCUUUAAGUCAGGGGUGAAAUCCUGGAGCUCAACUCCAGAACUGCCUUUGAUACUGAAGAUCUUGAGUUCGGGAGAGGUGAGUGGAACUGCGAGUGUAGAGGUGAAAUUCGUAGAUAUUCGCAAGAACACCAGUGGCGAAGGCGGCUCACUGGCCCGAUACUGACGCUGAGGCACGAAAGCGUGGGGGAGCAAACAGG